RNAcentral lists this small RNA (29 nucleotides) under Bombyx mori (domestic silkworm). Its description in RNAcentral is "ovarian small RNA-28172". Lineage: Eukaryota; Metazoa; Arthropoda; Insecta; Lepidoptera; Bombycidae. The record is from RNAcentral.
UCGAACUGCACUGCCGGCAGCGCAGCCGC